AUUCAUCACGUAGUUUCGACAAACUUUAUGUUAAGCCCAAGGCUUUAGCAGCCUCAGACAAUUCUUGAUCAACCUCCUUUUCCAGUUUCUCUUCCAGUUUCUUUAGCGUCUCAUCUAAAUCGAGUUUCGGAGGCUGAGAAGAGGACUUCAAAAUUUGUUGCUUCAGCUUCUCAAUCUGAACUUCUACUUUAGAGUCAGAAAUUUUCGCAGGAGGUAUAUCCUUGUUUCUAUCUGACAGAAGAAGCUUCACUUUAGUCAAUUCUUUCAACAUGCCAUGCUUCUUCUUCAGCUUGUUAGCAUUAGGAGCUGCUGACAACCUUCGAUUAAAAUCUGCCUGUAGUUUUUCUAUCUUACCCUUCAGCAAUGGAUCAAGAGGUUGGUCAUCUGAACUUGCUUUUGAAAAUUCAUCACGUAGUUUCGACAAACUUUGUGUUAAGCCCAAGGCUUUAGCAGCCUCAGACAAUUCUUGAUCAACCUCCUUUUCCAGUUUCUCUUCCAGUUUCUUUAUCGUCUUAUCUAAAUUGAGUUUCGGAGGCUGAGAAGAGGACUUCAAAAUUUGUUGCUUCAGCUUCUCAAUCUGAACUUCUACUUAAGAGACAGAAAUUUUCGCAGGAGGUAUAUCACUCUUCUUCAUGUUUCUUUUUUUCUUGGGAUCUACAGGAAUUCCUUCCUUGAACCCACCGAGUUUUCGGAACUUAAGCAUGCGAUGUUUUAACAGGUCUUCUGUGUUCAUCUUAGUGAGUUC
This 745-nucleotide long non-coding RNA is filed under the name Medicago truncatula (barrel medic). Its description in RNAcentral is "long non-coding RNA (MTRU_LNC005209)". Lineage: Eukaryota; Viridiplantae; Streptophyta; Magnoliopsida; Fabales; Fabaceae. The record is from RNAcentral.